This 278-nucleotide ribosomal RNA is filed under the name uncultured Staphylococcus sp. RNAcentral's name for it is "partial 16S ribosomal RNA". It matches the Rfam family "Bacterial small subunit ribosomal RNA", at positions 83 to 355 of the family's 1533-position model. Lineage: Bacteria; Bacillati; Bacillota; Bacilli; Caryophanales; Staphylococcaceae. The record is from RNAcentral.
CCUUUGACGUUAGCGGCGGACGGGUGAGUAACACGUGGGUAACCUACCUAUAAGACUGGGAUAACUUCGGGAAACCGGAGCUAAUACCGGAUAAUAUUUGAACCGCAUGGUUCGAUAGUGAAAGGUGGUUUUGCUAUCACUUAUAGAUGGACCCGCGCCGUAUUAGCUAGUUGGUAAGGUAACGGCUUACCAAGGCGACGAUACGUAGCCGACCUGAGAGGGUGAUCGGCCACACUGGAACUGAGACACGGUCCAGACUCCUACGGGAGGCAGCAGCA